Molecule: ribosomal RNA, 400 nt
Filed under: uncultured archaeon
Lineage: Archaea
Description: bacterial SSU rRNA
Rfam family: Archaeal small subunit ribosomal RNA
Source: RNAcentral
AGAGCGGGAGCCCGGAGAUGGGCACUGAGAUAAGGGCCCAGGCCCUACGGGGCGCAGCAGUUGCGAAAACUCCGCAAUGCACGAAAGUGUGACGGGGCUACCCCGAGUGCCGUCCGCUGAGGGCGGCUUUUCCCCGGUGUAAGGAGCCGGGGGAAUAAGGAGAGGGCAAGUCUGGUGUCAGCCGCCGCGGUAAUACCAGCUCUCCGAGUGGUAGGGAUAAUUAUUGGGCUUAAAGCGUCCGUAGCCGGCCUGGCAAGUCUUCCGUUAAAUCCAACGAUUCAAUCGUUGGACUGCGGGAGAUACUGUUGGGCUAGGAGGCGGGAGAGGCCGACGGUAUUCUCGGGGUAGGGGUAAAAUCCUAUAAUCCCGGGAAGACCACCAGUGGCGAAGGCGGUCGGCU